CGGAGGGUGAGGAGGAUGGCGGAGGGAGAGGAGGAUGGCGGAGGGAGAGGAGGAUGGCAGAGGGAGAGGAAGAUGGCAGAGGGAGAGGGGGAUGGCGGAGGGAGAGGAGGAUGGCAGAGGGAGAGGAGGUUGGCGGAGGGAGAGGAGGAUGGCGGAGGGAGAGGAGGAUGGCGGAGGGAGAGGAGGAUGGCGGAGGGAAUGGCGGAGGGAGAGGAGGAUGGCGGAGGGAGAGGAGGAUGGCAGAGGGAGAGGAGGCUGGCAGAGGGAGAGGAGGAUGGCAGAGGGAGAGGAGGAUGGCGGAGGGAGAGGAGGAUGGCGGAGGGAGAGGAGGAUGGCAGAUGGAGAGGAGGAUGGCAGAGAGGGGAGGAGGAUGGCGGAGGGAGAUGAGGAUGGCGGAGGGAGAGGAGGAUGGCGGAGGGAGGGGAGGAUGGCGGAGGGAGAGGAGUGAACAUUAAUGGUGGCUAAAAGCAGACCGCUUGACAGUGGCUCUUCACUCUCUCUCUCU
Long non-coding RNA from Oncorhynchus tshawytscha (Chinook salmon), 505 nucleotides. The record is from Ensembl. Lineage: Eukaryota; Metazoa; Chordata; Actinopteri; Salmoniformes; Salmonidae.